UUUAUGUUAUACCUUAAAAAGGGUAAAAAAGUGCGAAACUUAUACCUCAACAAGAAAACUUAUCCAACCACAGACUCACCUUAAAAUUUGUAUUAUAACAAAACAAAUAAUAAAAACCUAAUUUAUGAUUUCAAAUAUAUAUUAUAGAAUCCUAAUUAAUUUAUAUAUUUUUGCAAGAGAUACGGUAAAAAAAUAGCAACACAAAAAAUUCAUAAUUUCAAACACUAAUAUACUCACAUUUCUUAACUUUAUUGAUAAAUUAUGUAAAAUUAGCAAUAAGUUAAUAGUGGUGGAGAAGGAAUCCGUAUUAAAUAUAUAAUGUAUG
Molecule: long non-coding RNA, 325 nt
Filed under: Panax ginseng (ginseng)
Lineage: Eukaryota; Viridiplantae; Streptophyta; Magnoliopsida; Apiales; Araliaceae
Description: long non-coding RNA (PGIN_LNC004922)
Source: RNAcentral